Molecule: ribosomal RNA, 484 nt
Filed under: uncultured bacterium
Lineage: Bacteria
Description: partial 16S ribosomal RNA
Rfam family: Bacterial small subunit ribosomal RNA
Source: RNAcentral
AUUGAACGCUGGCGGCAUGCUUUACACAUGCAAGUCGAACGGCAGCGCGGGCUUCGGCCUGGCGGCGAGUGGCGAACGGGUGAGUAAUGCAUCGGAACGUGCCCAGUAGUGGGGGCUAGCCCGGCGAAAGCCGGAUUAAUACCGCAUACGACCUGAGGGUGAAAGCGGGGGACCGAAAGGCCUCGCGCUAUUUGAGCGGCCGAUGUCGGAUUAGCUAGUUGGUGGGGUAAAGGCUUACCAAGGCGACGAUCCGUAGCUGGUCUGAGAGGACGACCAGCCACACUGGGACUGAGACACGGCCCAGACUCCUACGGGAGGCAGCAGUGGGGAAUUUUGGACAAUGGGGGCAACCCUGAUCCAGCCAUGCCGCGUGCGGGAAGAAGGCCUUCGGGUUGUAAACCGCUUUUGUUCGGGAAGAAAUCCUCUGGGCUAAUACCCCGGGGGGAUGACGGUACCGGAAGAAUAAGCACCGGCUAACUACGUG